AGCGUUUACUUCAGUGUUGCACCGGCACACGUCUGUGACGUGUGUGAGAGAGUGUGAGAAACUUGUACUGUAAUAAGUAACGUCUACAUGUUCCGUGUUUCCGUGUGUUAGUACAAGUGGACAAGUGUCUAGCGCGUAAGAGGUUUCAGACCAUUCCACUCCAUGUGUUGUGUUAUUCGUGUCUGGUGUACAAAGCCAAGCUGCCUUUCUCUUGCCCAGCAGUUAUCGAGCAGUAAACUCCCAGCGCCGCCAUCUCGGCUCAGCCCCCAUCCCCCAACAGGGAGUGUGCAGUCACGUUGUUUUCCCAUUGUUUAGUGUAAACGUCUGGAUCACCAUUCUCCUGAGGUAAAGACACUGCCUGAUGAACGCUAUGUGAAAUUUCAAAGCACUGAAAGUCCUUUAUUUUUUUUUGUCAAGAUGUUUGGUCAAGGAAAUUUUUUGCACAGAAGAGACCGAGAAGGGAAAUAGCUUAGCCUGAACCAAAUAGAGUAUUGAAUUGUGUAUAGGUGUGUAUAAUUAUAUAAGACCCAUUUUCAUUCGUUUUCUCACUGCCGUGAGGCUAUGGCUGUGCUCCAAUACUGUCUACCAUCUUUAGGGUUCUUCCGUUACUUUAUUUGACCGAGGGAAGGUUCUUAGAUGAGGGCUGGGACGCUGUCAUUAAAGACUAAAGUGAUCAAAUGCUUCAUUUUUUUAAACUCAUUUUCUACAUUUAAAGUUUUAUUAACUGACUUCUCCGUGUAUACGUCACAGGAGUAAAGGUGGGAAGUAACAAAGUACAAUUAUUUUAUUACUGUAUUUAAGUCUGUUUUUUUUUUUUUUUUAAAUUAUUCGUUAUUUACUUGAGGUUUUUGUUUUGUUUUUUUUUUCAGCAAAUACUUUUGACGUUUUACUUUUCUAUAUUAGAAAAUGUGUUUUCAAACGUCGCAUCACUACCCUGCUGAGAGAAAAUAAAACCUAAGAGAAAUCCUCACAGAAUUGCUAAUGAUUUCAAUGGAUAUAAUGGGAAUUGUAUUGGUUUUAAUGGAAACUGUAAUGGUCCCUGUGGGUCUCUACUGGUAAUUCGAUGCCUUCUAUUGGUGGCAUGUUUGGCUAGUGGGUACCAUUAAGGACCUACAUCCUUAAUACAUCCUACUAUAUAAUGGAAACCGUUUGGUAAUAGUUUUAAUGGUUAACAGCUAAUAGUUUGUAAUGGUAUUUCUAGUGGAAACCAUUAGAAUUCCUGGGGGUUUUUUUUCCAGCAGGGUACAGUUCUCUAUAAUCGUAUUUGUGCAGUCGUAAGCACUGAAAUGUGCAGUUUGUAUGCUCAGAGUUCGUCUCUUGCUAGCUAACAUCUGAGUGAAUAGGAAUAACGUUGUUGUUAGUUAGCCUUAGCUAAUGUUUUCCCCCGUUUCGUACUGUAACUAAGUUUACACAGUUUUCUAUUUUCACUUGAGUGAAGGGUUUCAUGCUGUACUUCGACGUUUACCAGAUUUAUUUAUUUAGAUGAGUAAUGAAUGAGUAAACAAUUUGGGUAAUUUUACCAGCUCGGGACGAUUGUCUAGCUAGUUAACAGCCUAGCUAAUUAGCCCCGUAGCUAAGGGGUGUCCAACGAAAGUCCAGGAGUGCCACAACACUCAGAGAAUUGUGUUUUCCCGUUUAUAAAACUACAAAUUCGGUCCUUGAAUCUUUUGGCAGUUAGCCGUGUUGUGUUGCGGUGUUCAAAUGAAGUAGAUGACUAGAGUCAGACAGAACUAGCAAACCAGCUGAUUAGCACUAUACACACUCUAGGUAAGAAUUAGAAGCUAGAAGCUAGAGGUAAGAAGCUAGAUUGUGUAAAGAAAAUAGGCUGUUCAAAUGGAAAAGGAAAUGGCUUCCAAUAAAUAAAUAAAUAAAUAAAUAAAUACAUAAACCUGCUUCCUGCCCUGCAAGUGGUACAGAGUCAUGACAGAGAAUCAUGAAGCGUUUAUAAAAACAGUAUUGGAACACAGCCUAGGAAAGUGUGUGCAAAGUGAAGGGACGAGAUAAAGCACUUUAUGUACUGCUUAAAAUACGGGGCAGAGGAGUGUGUUGAUGAAAGAGAGUACAUUACCGAGGAGAAUAUUUUGUGUGUGUGUGUGUGUGUGUGUGUGUGUGUGUGUGUUGUCACAUGCUGGGAUUGUUUUUAAUCGUAUUGACUAAAUUGUCUCAUUUGAAUCAGGUGCUUUGCUAAAUCACUCCAACUGCAAAUCAAAGUUGCACAGUUACUGAACUUUCUAGAACGUUGCUUUUUCUUCCAGUCGUGUGCUCUGCUCUGAACUUCUUUUCUUCUCUUUUCUUUUCUACUUCUUCCUGAGUUUGAGGGUUGAACGAUUCCUCUGCUGUAGUUUGCUGUGUUUUCUUGGUUCGAGAUGCAGUUUAAAAGAUUGCUAGAAAUGAGUGUUACAACUCGACUGCCUGCUGCCUAUAUACACUGGUUUUUAUUUUUAUUUUAUUGUUUGUUUGUUUUUUGUUUUGUUUUGUUUUUUGGUUUGUUUUUUUUUGCUAUGCAUUAUCUCCUUUUCUUCCAGGUUGAAAAAAGACUCAGUGAUAUUACAGUCUUUACGGAUGAAAUCCUUUCCUCAGCGUGUUAGAUAAUUGUUUCUGUGCUCUACGGGCCAUGUUCAGAGUUGGGACUUAAGUCCAAGGUUAUACACAUUCAGAGUUUGUUUAAGCAGAUCGAUUUUCUGACCAAUUUAUAUUUGAUGCAAAUUGAUCCUAGCUAAGUGUAGUUCUUGCCUCCAAGGUUGCCAGAUUUGUCUUGAGCAGAAGUAUCCAGAGACGAGUUUUUCCGGUAGUUUCUAGACCACUGGAUAGUAUAGAUAGAUUCCAUAGUUGUUUAAAUGUAUUUACAGCAUAAAUUUCAGUGACACAUCGUGGUUAUGUCAGACUGUGAAACAGUGGCACUGGCACCUCACUUGAGCCGAUUCCACUUACAUUCAAAUUCAGAAUAACACGUGACUGAGAUUUACUCGAACUCUGCCCACAUACGAACUCCAGCGUAUCUUCAGAUUAGCGUAAUUUCAUUAUUAAAUCCUCCCUCUGUGUGCUUAACUCUCAAUAUGGCCCUCUCUCUCUCUCUCUCUCCCUCUCUCAUUCCUUCUGUCACUCUCUCUCGCUCUCUUUCUCUCUC
Long non-coding RNA from Ictalurus punctatus (channel catfish), 3127 nucleotides. Lineage: Eukaryota; Metazoa; Chordata; Actinopteri; Siluriformes; Ictaluridae. The record is from Ensembl.